Molecule: long non-coding RNA, 1312 nt
Filed under: Capra hircus (goat)
Lineage: Eukaryota; Metazoa; Chordata; Mammalia; Artiodactyla; Bovidae
Description: lncRNA (ENSCHIG00010006132.1)
Source: RNAcentral
AGGAAAAGUAUACAAUGAUUAAAAGAUAAUAAGAGCCAAGAUUAACACAAAGGUUACUAAAUGCCAGGAAUUAUGCUAAGUAUUUUAUAUGAAUUAUCUAAUUACAAUUAUUAUUGACGGGUAUGGUUACGAUUUUGAUCACUCCAUCUUAUAGGAGGGGAAACUGAGGCUCAGAGAGGUCACAUGUCCCCUACAUACUGAGAGGACUGAUGUCUGUAAUAGGCUGAGCUGUUGAGGACCCCGAUCUUCUGUCCCAUCACUCCUCAGACAUUUGAACCGUUAGUUACUUAAGAGUCUUGGUGGGCUAGUCAGGCACCACUGAGUGACGGAGCACACACAGCACAAGCCUUGGCGCUACGGAAGAACGCUUUCCUGCUGGGCAUCGAUGUCUCUGGCUACAUAAGGAAAACCUAGCUCUGGAAGGAACAAACCAAGGCGAGAAAUAAGCAGACCUGAAGGGUAAAUGCAGAAGAGCUCUGCCUAAUUGUCUGGGUCCUUGCAUUCACCUGUGCCAGAGUUUAGAGCUACUCCUGGACUCCCAAUUAGGAGAGUCCAUGAGUUCAUUCUUUUCUUAAGCUAAUUUGAUGGGUUGUCUGCCCUUGGCAUACAAUAACCACNNNNNNNNNNNNNNNNNNNNNNNNNNNNNNNNNNNNNNNNNNNNNNNNNNNNNNUAAUGGGCGAAGCAUGUGAUUAGAAGCUCAAUGAAGAAACAGCAGUGGAGAUUAAUUCUGGAACUCCUAUCUGGGGGGCCCAUGCCUCUUUGCAGUGGAAGACUGGGUGCUAUUUUAUCUGCGCCUCCCGAGGUCUCGCCACUGCUAAGACACACACAGGACAUCUAUAGGUGGUGUCCAGCGGCUCUCCAGAUAUAUAGCUGGUUUAUCCUGGGAUCAUCUUAUUUGGCUCCAUGAAAUAAUCUUCCUUAAAUAUGGAGUUAGGAAACAUGAGAAAUCGUUAAUGAUACAUUGUUCCUGGAAUAUCAUGGAACAGAGCGAAGAUUCCCCCCCUGCCCCAUUGGUUUCUGGCAGCCCCGUGGAGGUGCUGGUGGGAGUGUGCUUCAGGAGGGCUGGAGGUCAUUAACCGCCCCCUUUCCGCAGAGCCUGCUUGCCCUCCCACGUGGCCUGCUCAGGAGCCUGUAAUGAAGCCAACAGCUCCUCGAGGCACGGUCUCUCCCUCUUAAUGCAUGGCUUCUUUGGAGCAGAAUCAAUUACAGUUUUAUUUUAUUCCAUCUCUAUAAAAUGGUUGUGGAAUGAUGCUUCUUUUGUGUUGGAGGAAAAAAAAAGCAACCCAGUCCCUGGAUGGGAGAUUGAUUGAU